CAAAAACAUUGCUUCUUGUAAUUUAAUAAGAAGUAAUUCCUGCCCAGUGAUUUAACGGCCGCGGUAUCCUAACCGUGCAAAGGUAGCAUAAUCACUUGCCCAUUAAUUGUGGGCUAGAAUGAAAGGACUAACGAAAUAAAAACUGUCUCUAUAAGUCUAAUAUAAAUUAUUCUCUAACUGAAGAGUGUUAGAUGAAAUUGAAGGACAAGAAGACCCUAUAGAGCUUUAUCUUACCAGAUAUUUCUAAUCUAUAAAGAUUCGGUUGGGGCGACCAGGGAAAAUUAAUCAUCCCUAAAAAAAAGACUUAUGAGUCUAACUUUUGACCCUAAAAAGAUCAUUAAAUAAGCUACCUUAGGGAUAACAGGCUAAUCCCAUUAAAGAGUCCUUAUCAAUAAUGGGGAUUGGCACCUCGAUGUUGGCUUAGGGAAUCUAUACGGCGCAAAAGUCGUAAAAAGAUGGUUUGUUCAACCAAUAAUACCCUACAUGAUCU
This 490-nucleotide ribosomal RNA is filed under the name Dendrobaena skipetarica. RNAcentral describes it as "Dendrobaena sp. 8 TS-2015 partial 16S ribosomal RNA". It matches the Rfam family "Bacterial large subunit ribosomal RNA", at positions 1808 to 2606 of the family's 2925-position model. The record is from RNAcentral. Lineage: Eukaryota; Metazoa; Annelida; Clitellata; Crassiclitellata; Lumbricidae.